Molecule: ribosomal RNA, 156 nt
Filed under: uncultured Bacillus sp.
Lineage: Bacteria; Bacillati; Bacillota; Bacilli; Caryophanales; Bacillaceae
Description: partial 16S ribosomal RNA
Rfam family: Bacterial small subunit ribosomal RNA
Source: RNAcentral
GCGGAAACCCUGAGGAGCAGCGCCCGCGUGAGCGAGAGGUCUUCGGAUCUGUAAGCUCUGUUGUAAGGGAAGACAGGUGUGUAAUAACUGGCUGCACCUUGACGGUACCUUACUAGAAAGCCACGGCUAAAUACGUGCCAGCAGCCGCGGUAAUUA